UCCUCAGCGUAGCAGAGGCUUUCAUUGAGGCAGAGGCGGUUUUCGCGGACGGGAUGAGUGAAGGAAACUUGAAGUUGGAGAACUGACGGUGAAUGGAACAACAUGCACAACUGUAAAAGAAAAUCAAGUUGUCGUCUUCAGGUGUAUGGUUGAGGGUCCUCUAUUCGCAGCUGUGUCUCUUAUUCAGGAAAGUACUUUGGUCUCAGUGAAUAUAUCUAGGACACAACGGAAUGUGUAUGAACAUGCCAUGGACGUACGGAAGUGUUCUCAGCUCGGUGUGUAUUCUUGUAGAGCCACGAAUGUUGCUGGUGAAUCAGAAGAUGGGCAACAUACAGUUGUCUUGAAAGGAAUGCCACGUGAACAAGCAUCACAUGCUUUUGUGAUCAUUGGAAAGACUAAUUCGAUGGUUAUCAGCAUUACGCUGUGUUCAUACCCUGG
Long non-coding RNA from Haliotis rubra (blacklip abalone), 438 nucleotides. RefSeq lists it as uncharacterized. The record is from RefSeq and is a predicted model, not a curated record. Lineage: Eukaryota; Metazoa; Mollusca; Gastropoda; Lepetellida; Haliotidae. The transcript has 3 exons.